Molecule: long non-coding RNA, 207 nt
Organism: Arabidopsis thaliana (thale cress)
Lineage: Eukaryota; Viridiplantae; Streptophyta; Magnoliopsida; Brassicales; Brassicaceae
Product: other RNA
Exons: 1
Source: RefSeq
AGAGAUGUGCAGGCGAGAAUCACUACACACCAAAUUAAAGUGGACACAAACCGGAUUCAACCAUAACUUCCCUCUGGGCUCUGGCUACAUCUCACGCACGUAUUCUAAAUCUAGAGCCAGCAGUUUACUAAACGACAACGAUUUAGCCUUAGCGCGCUGUUGGAAAAAACACUACCAUGCAAUGUUAUGUCCCACAUGCUACUCCCA